Brassica napus (rape) is the source of this 3117-nucleotide long non-coding RNA. RefSeq lists it as uncharacterized. The transcript has 4 exons. The record is from RefSeq and is a predicted model, not a curated record. NCBI's taxonomy places the organism in Eukaryota, Viridiplantae, Streptophyta, Magnoliopsida, Brassicales, Brassicaceae.
UAACAAGUCAAGUACAAGUCAAAAAAUUUAUUACUCGUACAAGGCAAGUCAAGUCGCAAGUACACGCAAAAUAGCGAGUACUCGCCUUGUGCCCAACCCUACAAAUUGAUACGACCCCAAAGAACAGUUUUUGCUAAAACUUCAGCAAUUUCUUGAAUACUUGACUGGGAUAUUAAACUUUGAGUAUUCAAAAAUGCUCAAGUUAUUUCUAAUGAAACGGCUAACGGCUCGAUAUUAGAUUGAUUCUUCUAAAGCACGGUUCUGCUCGUACUAAUCCAAUCGUUCUCCAAGUAAAAAAAUAUACAUUUCCUCUUUUGAAACUAUAUUUUUUUAUGUUAUUUGACAUACAAUAAUUUUGAUAUGCCUAUUAUGAAUAUGCACCUCAUGCGAUCGAUAAAUCUUUUAAUCUUAUUAGACUUUGCAGUACCAAUCAAGAAUCCGCAAAAAUUCUAUAAAUUCUUGUUAUACACAUGUUCCAAUUAUUAAUUCGCUUUUCUAUGUUCAGCAAUAUUGAAUCAAUCGAGUGAACUUCUAAUCUACUUUUGGAAGACCUUGUGAUCUUGAUUUUUCAUAUAUAAAUGUAACUAAUGUAUUCACCUCGUAAAAAAGUUUCUCGAUAAUGCUCAUAAACUUUUGUUCCCAGAAUAGACAAAUAUGGCUUAGCAAAUCUUAUUACUACAUAAUUCUUUUGAAUAAUUAAAACUUGACUUGACUCUAGGUAUGAUUAUUUUGGAUAUACAUUACAUACAUUUUCACAAAAGAAAAUUGUCCAAAACUAAUUAUUGUGAACGUUUCCUCACAAUAAUCAUGAUUAUAAUUUGGAUGGAGAAAAUACCAAUUGAAUUUGAAUAUACUCUACAUUUUCUUAUACUCCCCCUUAAGAUGUAUGGUUCUUUAAGAUGUAAGAAACUACACUCCUGCUGUAAUUACUGCUUACCUUAAUCACAUGAAGAUCUCUGCACUGGCGGAGAACGCACAAUCAUCGAUGUUUAGUGAAGUGUUGGCUACUGCUGGAAGGGAAAUUGUGACAAAGGACAUAACUAGGAUGCGUGGUGGCUGGCCAAUGCAAGAUGCAUUUUAUGUAAGUAGCGUUCUCUCUAAACUAUGUUAUAUUAUGAGACAACUCUUUUCUUUCAUGGUUAUAUCAUCUUCCACAGAAGUCUACCAAAAUUAGGCAUAAUCGACUGACUUGAAGUUUACUUCUAGUGUACGAUACUUAAGGGAGUUUGUUCUUGAUCAAAUACUUGAAGGGAGUUAAUAACAUUUUGCACAUGGCACAUCUUCUUAGAAGUGUGAUUGUAUUUGCAGGGUGGGUUAAUGAUAAGAAUCUACUGUGUUGCGCAGUUUCCCCCUGACUAGUAAUUCUUAGGCAGGUUGAUAAUUUCUUAGUCAAAAGGAAGUGUCAUGUAACCCUUGUAUUGAGGUUUGAGGGUUAUGAAAUUUUCAGGUUUAGGUAUUCUGGUGAAGUAAUUUAGGCUUAUAUGAUGCUGUUACCUUCUCUCAGUUUUCUUUCUGAGCUUCUUUAUCAUUUGGGCAGUAUAAAUAAUUUGACGAGGCAUCUCAUUUUCAAUCAAUUUUGAUGCAGGUUUUCUCUCAGCAUACGGAGCUUUCAGUUUCGUUCAUGGAAACACUUGAUAUCUGUUCUCAAUCGUAGUUCUUUAGUUAAAGGUGAUUCACACAAGGAUUCACAUAAGGGAGACAAUUCAAGCUCUUCUUCUGAAACACAUGUAGAAGAUGAGUUACUUCAAGCUGCCAUUUUUGCUCUCACUGCCAUUUUUAGGUUCGUUUCUCAAACCAUGAAUUUACUUGUGUGUACGUAAUGCAUUUUUGGUUGCUGAUAUACUAAAUUAACCAGAGGUGGCGGAAAAAUUGGAAAGAAAGCUAUUGAGAAAAGUUACUCUUCUGUUGUUGGGGCACUUACUCUUCAACUGGGAAGCUGUCAUGGACUUGCAAGCACUGGUCAGCAUCCAUUACGGUAACUCCCCUACUUUCAAGAGAUUUAACAAUUGGUAGUGAAGCCUUUGUAAUUUUUUUUCAGAGUACUUCUGACUUCCUUCCAGGCUUUCUGAGAGUGUGUUGGUGAUUUAGAGAUGGGCAAGAUUUUGGCUCGUAAUGGGGAGCAAAGAGAAAAGGAAAAGUGGGUUGAUCUUAUUGGAGAUAUUGCUGGAUGCAUUUCAAUUAAGAGACCAAAGGAGGUUCAACAUAUUUGCAUAAUUCUAACGAAAGCACUAAACCGUCCACAAAAGAUUCCAAAGGGAAGCUGCUGCCGCUGCAUUGUCAGAGUUCAUACGUUACAGUGGUGAUUUUAGCUCUGUGAUGGAGGAGAUGGUCGAAGCACUCUGCCGACAUGUGUCAGAUGAUUCUCCGACUGUAAGGCGACUUUGUCUGAGAGGAUUAGUGCAGGUAAGAGUUAUUCUUAUCAUUUUUUAAAUGUCUAUCUUGAUUUUGUAAGAGGAGUAAGGCAAGAAAGAGUUUAUUUCGAUUUCUGCUAUUUUCGGCGCAAAGUUUAUUAUUCGGGAAUGCACAACUUAGUUGCUUUGGGGUAUUGCCAGAUGGCAUUUGCUUGUAUGAACCACUACACAACCUCAAGUUAUUGGUGUAAUAUUAGCGUUGCUCGAUGAUUUGGAUGAGUCAGUGCAACUAACUGCUGUGUCAUGCUUAUUGAUGGUAACGACUCAAUAUUUCUGAACUUUGUAUGUCAGAUGUAUGCUCUUAUGUGAUUGUUUUCUUUUGUUUAGGUCACAGAGACAGCAUCUAAUGAUGCUGUUGAACCUAUCUUGCUGAAUUUAUCUGUUCGGCUUCGUAACCUUCAGGUAACUUAUCUGAAACAAAUACUGUACGAGAUAAAACAAAGCUGAAUGUUUUUUACUGAACUGACUAAACCUUGAACGGAAGCAAAACGCAAAAUUAGUUGUCUAAGUUUGCUAAACUGCUAGGUACAUUGUUUAUGAUUGAUAGUGCUAUGCCACUAACCUUGAAAUUCUUAUUUGUAACAACAGAUUAGCAUAGACCCGAAGAUGAGAGCCAGCGCAUUUUCAGCUUUUAAAAACGGAGAGGAGCUCGACUUGAUCGGACCGACUCAGGUAGAAAAUCCAAUGAUCCCGAGUCUGCUAAGAA